Molecule: ribosomal RNA, 405 nt
Filed under: uncultured prokaryote
Description: bacterial SSU rRNA
Rfam family: Bacterial small subunit ribosomal RNA
Source: RNAcentral
UGGGGAAUAUUGGGCAAUGGGCGCAAGCCUGACCCAGCAACGCCGCGUGAGGGAAGAAGGCCUUCGGGUUGUAAACCUCUGUCCUUGGUGACGAAAAAAAUGACGGUAGCCAAGGAGGAAGCCCCGGCUAACUACGUGCCAGCAGCCGCGGUAAUACGUAGGGGGCGAGCGUUGUCCGGAAUUACUGGGCGUAAAGGGUGCGUAGGUGGCCUUUUAAGUUGGAUGUGAAAUACCCGGGCUUAACGUGGGGUGUGCAUCUAAUACUGGGAGGCUAGAGUGCAGGAGAGGGAAGCGGAAUUCCUAGUGUAGCGGUGAAAUGCGUAGAUAUUAGGAGGAACACCAGUGGCGAAGGCGGCUUUCUGGACUGUAACUGACACUGAGGCACGAAAGCGUGGGGAGCAAACA